UGGGGAAUAUUGCACAAUGGGGGAAACCCUGAUGCAGCCAUGCCGCGUGUGUGAAGAAGGCCUUCGGGUUGUAAAGCACUUUCAGUUGUGAGGAAAAGUUAGUAGUUAAUACCUGCUAGCCGUGACGUUAACAACAGAAGAAGCACCGGCUAACUCCGUGCCAGCAGCCGCGGUAAUACGGAGGGUGCGAGCGUUAAUCGGAAUUACUGGGCGUAAAGCGCACGCAGGCGGUUUGUUAAGCUAGAUGUGAAAGCCCCGGGCUCAACCUGGGAUAGUCAUUUAGAACUGGCAGACUAGAGUCUUGGAGAGGGGAGUGGAAUUCCAGGUGUAGCGGUGAAAUGCGUAGAUAUCUGGAGGAACAUCAGUGGCGAAGGCGACUCCCUGGCCAAAGACUGACGCUCAUGUGCGAAAGUGUGGGUAGCGAACAGGAUUAGAUACCCUGGUAGUCCACACCGUAAACGCUGUCUACUAGCUGUUUGUGACUUUAAGUCGUGAGUAGCGAAGCUAACGCGCUAAGUAGACCGCCUGGGGAGUACGGCGCAAGGUA
Molecule: ribosomal RNA, 547 nt
Filed under: uncultured marine gamma proteobacterium AY-91
Lineage: Bacteria; Pseudomonadati; Pseudomonadota; Gammaproteobacteria; Alteromonadales; Alteromonadaceae
Description: bacterial SSU rRNA
Rfam family: Bacterial small subunit ribosomal RNA
Source: RNAcentral